CAUGGGGGUGUCCUGCACAGCCUGGUGACUGGUUAGCAAUACCAUAUUGCAUAUUUGAAAGUUGCCACUAGGGUAGAUCUUAAAAGUUGUCAUCACAAGAAAAAACAAAACAAGUUUACCUGUGUGGUGAUACCUGUUAACUGGAUCAUUUUACAAUAGAUACAAAUAUCAAGCAUCACACUGUACACCUGGAACUAAUGCUAUAUGUCAACUAGGCUUCAGUAAAAUUAUGUAUUUUAUAAAAUGAAAAAAUAAGAUUUAAAAACAAAAAUAAUGAAGACCUUAAUAGCUGGGGCCUCCCUCGUGGCUCACUGGUAAGGAAUCCACCUGCCAAUGCAGGAGACAUGGGUUCGGUCCCUGGUCCUGGAUGAUUCCACAGCAAGAGAAGCCACCGCAGUGAGAAGCCCGUGGACUAAAGCUAGAGAGUAGCCCCGCCCGCUGCAACUAGAGAAAAAAGCCCACGCGGCAGUGAGACCCAGGACAGCCGAAAGUAAGGAGACGAAUUAUUUUUAAAAACAAUAAAGACUUUCAUAGUUGCCAGAAUUUUAUGUGGUUCUUGACAAGCUUAUUCUAAAAAUAUUUAAGAAGGAAUUUCCACUUCUGGGAAUGGCAUGCUAGGUAAUUCAGACCAGCUCCCCUGCUAAGAAAGCUGAACCAAGUAUUUUUAAAUCCAGGCCUGAAUCCAUCUGAGAGCUAGCAAGAGAAGGAAGAAUUACUGGGCAGAAAUCCAUGAUGCUGACACUCGGGUCACAUUCCUGCCAAUUCCAGAAGAGGUGUCUAAGAGGCUCAGCAGCACUUCUGACAAGAGGAAGAUGUAAAACAACAGAAGACAGUCCAGAACUGACUAUACUUUGAGAGCCCUCAAGGGAGCCUUCCAGGCAUAAAAGCAUGACCACGACGAUGAGUACCCAGCCCUCGCGGGGCCAAGCCAGCUUCAGACCAUCUCGGUCCCUGGAAGUGGAAUGCCAGCACCUGCACACCUGCCGGGGUAAAUGCAGAGCCUCACUGGAGGCGGCAGGCGCCAUCCUCGGCCUCCAGGUAUUUCCCGCGUCAUAUACAGCAGUGAACGAGCAGGCUCUGGAGUCGGUGAUGCACAGGGAGGCCUGGCGUGGUGCAGUCCGUGGGGUCACAAAGAGUCGGACACGACUGAGCAACUACACUGAACUGAUAGAACAAUAACCAGGAACACAGGGCAAGAGACACGGACAGAUCCAGGCCAGAAGCAACGGACAGAGUCAGACCUGCAGAGGCAGGGAUUCCACAGUUAGCAGGCGCAGACGCGAAAGCACGAUGCUUGCUCUGAUCUUGGUGUAGGCCAGAAUCGAGAGUGGAGGCAACUAGUUGGAAAACAAACAGAGGACACAUGGAAAUUCUAAAACCAAAAAACUCCACAUCAGCUGAUGCAAGGAACUCAGUGAACACGUUGGACAGCAUUAGUGAGCCAGAGGUAGUUCAGGGGCUACAGGCCAGAUGAAGCGUGAAGAGACACAAGGACAAAAGCCAAGAUGGGAAGAGACAUGGGGGUGAGAGGUCGUCUGUGUAACUGCAGUACCAGCAGCAAAAGGAAAAGCCGCAGAGUGGAAGCGAUGUUCACAGCAGUGUGGUUCACAGCAGCCCCAAAGUGCAAGGGAUGCACACGGCCAUCGGCUGGUGAAAGGACAAGCCAGUGUGCUUCCGUACAAUGGGACGCCAUUCAGCGAUUCAAAAAAAAAAAAAGGAAUGAACUGACCCGCAACACACAUGAGCCUCAAAAACACUUCCUGCUUCUGUUUAAACGAAAUGUGCACAAACAGCAAACCUGAGACAGGGCGGCGCAGCGCCUGGGAGUGGGCGUGGGCCGCAGCAGACGACGGGCCUGUCGGCGUGAUGGGACUGUCUGAAAACUGCUGAGCGGCAGCGCUUACACAGCUCUGCAAACGUCCUGCACGCGCCGUUACACUCCAAAGGACAUGCAGAUCAUACCUCAAUAAUGCUGUUUUUUAAAAAGUUUUCCAAAAUCGAUUGUGCCGGUGGUCAAUGUCUUGUUCCUCACGCUUGCGGCGUGGCCGUGAGCGCUUCUCAUGUGCAGAGAAGCACAGGGUUUUGUCACUGCAGGGAGACUGUGGUGGUGGUGGCCCCUGGAGUGCAGACCACUUCCUUCUUCUGUGACCUCAUGGAAACCAGAGGCACGUGGCUGCAGACGUCCAGCACCUUCUUCCCCGGCCAUACCCUCCCCCGAACCUGGCCGUCUCUCGGCAAGCCUGCGGUCCCGACCUGGUUACCUCGCUGUGGUCCCCAGCACUGAACCAGCUCUGGCCGGCAUGAGCCGGUGUUUCUCCGCCCCGCAGAGGGCUGCGACCACAGCUUCUCCAACGACGAGCUCUGAAUCCUGGCUCUGGGUUCGUGGCCCUCCUAAGCGCCUACCUGAGGGCCUACCCGCUUUCCUGGGGUAUUCAUCUUCACCCCAGGGGAACUUUAGCAUUCCCUUUACAGUUAAUAAUUCUUUCCAUUAAAAUCUUUCUCUGUUCAAAUUACUCCAUAGUUUGUGCCUUCUGAUUGGUCUUGACUGGAAAACAUCAAGCCCUAAAUUCAAGAAACCUUAUGAAUGCCAAGUGGGAUAAUUAAAAAGAAAUACAGUGGUCCCUUAGUACCUACAGGGGACUGGAUUCAAGACCCGCUGUGGAUACCAAACUCCAGUCCCAGAGUCAGCCCUCUGCCCCCAGGGGUCAGCACCCCAAAUCUGACGCACAGUACGUGACCCGAGGCUGGCUGGACCCACGGACAGGGAGGGCGAGAGUACACAUCCAGGCACGGCAUGGUCCUAACCUUCUGAAAGACAAAAACGAAAACAAUAUCUUUAGGUAGACAAGGGAGGGAAAAAAAAAAACACAUUACCAUCAAAGGUACCGUGAAUGAGACUCCCCAACAGAAGUGCCUGGGGAUGAAAGUCAACGGUGUAUCUUCAGUACUGAAAAGAAAUCACCAGUCACACUUCCGUAUUCACUCUAAAUCCCUUUCAAGGAUGAAGGCAAAAAAUCAAGAUACUGUCAGAAGAACAAAACCAGUUCAUCGCCAGCAGACCUACAUCAAGACAAGAUGGAACAGUGU
Long non-coding RNA from Bos taurus (domestic cattle), 3087 nucleotides. The record is from Ensembl. Lineage: Eukaryota; Metazoa; Chordata; Mammalia; Artiodactyla; Bovidae.